GCAGUGGUGACUCAGUGGUAGAAUUCUCACCUUCCUUGUGGGAGACCCAGGUUUGAGUCCUGGCUGGUGUA
This 71-nucleotide transfer RNA is filed under the name Loxodonta africana (African savanna elephant). It matches the Rfam family "tRNA". Rfam says of the family: Transfer RNA (tRNA) molecules are approximately 80 nucleotides in length. Their secondary structure includes four short double-helical elements and three loops (D, anti-codon, and T loops). The record is from Rfam by way of RNAcentral. Lineage: Eukaryota; Metazoa; Chordata; Mammalia; Proboscidea; Elephantidae.